AUUGAACGCUGGCGGCAGGCCUAACACAUGCAAGUCGAGCGGAGCUGCGGACGGGUGAGUAAUUCCUAGGUAUCUGCCUGGCCGUGGGGGAUAACGUCCGGUAACGGGCCCUAAUACCGCACACUUUCUGAUGACCCUAGUUCGUAUUAGCUCGUUGGUGGGGUAAAGGCUUACCAAGGCGACGAUCCGUAACUGGUCUGAGAGGAUGAUCAGUCACACUGGAACUGAGACACGGUCCAGACUCCUACGGGAGGCAGCAGUAGGGAAGAUUGGACAAUGGGCGAAAGCCUGAGCGAGCCAUGCCGCGUGUGUGAAGAAGGUCUUCGGAUUGUAAAGCACUUUAAGUUGGGAAGCGUUACCAAAAGAGUAAGCACCGGCUAACUUCGUGCCAGCAGCCGCGGUAAUAC
This 407-nucleotide ribosomal RNA is filed under the name uncultured bacterium. RNAcentral describes it as "partial 16S ribosomal RNA". It matches the Rfam family "Bacterial small subunit ribosomal RNA", at positions 30 to 526 of the family's 1533-position model. The record is from RNAcentral.